This 664-nucleotide long non-coding RNA is filed under the name Medicago truncatula (barrel medic). RNAcentral's name for it is "long non-coding RNA (MTRU_LNC005033)". The record is from RNAcentral. Lineage: Eukaryota; Viridiplantae; Streptophyta; Magnoliopsida; Fabales; Fabaceae.
UUUUUUUUAACAAGCAAAAAUGGAAUAUAUAUUAGAAACCAAAAGAGAAAUCUCAAGCACAAGGUGUGCUAGAGAAAACUCAAAAGUAAGCAAUUACAAGGACAAAAUGUAGCCAAUAGAACAAGGACAAAAAAUAGCCAAAGAACAAGCUAGCCAAUACCCAAACAAACAAAAGGGCUUAACCACCACAUAUGAAAAUUAUUACGGAUAGAAAAAUUAGUAGUCUUCAUCCACCAGAAAGACUGUAAUUUGAUUUUCUCUACCAAUUGGUGAACGGUAUGGUCCUUAUUUUUGAAUACCCUGCUGUUUCUUUCACUCCACAUAACCCCCACAGAGCACAACCAAAUAAGUUGCAAGAAAGAGCAAAAAGUACGGGAGGCCCCUACGGAAUACACAAACUGUAACACCCCGUUUUCCCAAUAUUUAAAAUUUCUUUAAAAACAUAACAUUUAUCAGAGUAAACAUCAAACAACGGGAUAUCACAUAUAACGUAAUCCAACAGUUAAAUAAUGAUUUAACCAAUAUCUUAAACAUUUGCAGCGGAAAAUCUUAACCAUAAGUCAUGAAACGUUUUGGCACGCAGGCCCAACAAGUAUCUCAAAAGAGUUAAUCAAAACAGUAAAUAUUCAUGGCAGUUCACGUAAGAGAAUGAAGCAUGUUAUNN